This 69-nucleotide transfer RNA is filed under the name Fluvitrygon signifer (white-rimmed stingray). RNAcentral's name for it is "tRNA-Glu". The record is from RNAcentral. Lineage: Eukaryota; Metazoa; Chordata; Chondrichthyes; Myliobatiformes; Dasyatidae.
GUUUUUGUAGUUGAAUAACAACGGCAGUUUUUCGGAUUGGAAGUCUUAGUUAAAGUCUAGGCAAGAAUA